RNAcentral lists this ribosomal RNA (800 nucleotides) under bacterium. RNAcentral describes it as "bacterial SSU rRNA". It matches the Rfam family "Bacterial small subunit ribosomal RNA", at positions 114 to 911 of the family's 1533-position model. The record is from RNAcentral.
UAUAUCGGAACGUACCCAAGAGUGGGGGAUAACGUAGCGAAAGUUACGCUAAUACCGCAUACGAUCUAAGGAUGAAAGCAGGGGAUCUUCGGACCUUGUGCUCCUGGAGCGGCCGAUAUCUGAUUAGCUAGUUGGUGAGGUAAAGGCUCACCAAGGCCACGAUCAGUAGCUGGUCUGAGAGGACGACCAGCCACACUGGAACUGAGACACGGUCCAGACUCCUACGGGAGGCAGCAGUGGGGAAUUUUGGACAAUGGGCGAAAGCCUGAUCCAGCAAUGCCGCGUGAGUGAAGAAGGCCUUCGGGUUGUAAAGCUCUUUUGUCAGGGAAGAAACGGUUUGGGCUAAUAUCCUGAGCUAAUGACGGUACCUGAAGAAUAAGCACCGGCUAACUACGUGCCAGCAGCCGCGGUAAUACGUAGGGUGCAAGCGUUAAUCGGAAUUACUGGGCGUAAAGCGUGCGCAGGCGGUUUUGUAAGUCUGACGUGAAAUCCCCGGGCUCAACCUGGGAAUUGCGUUGGAGACUGCAAGGCUAGAAUCUGGCAGAGGGGGGUAGAAUUCCACGUGUAGCAGUGAAAUGCGUAGAGAUGUGGAGGAACACCGAUGGCGAAGGCAGCCCCCUGGGUCAAGAUUGACGCUCAUGCACGAAAGCGUGGGGAGCAAACAGGAUUAGAUACCCUGGUAGUCCACGCCCUAAACGAUGUCUACUAGUUGUCGGGUUUUAAUUAACUUGGUAACGCAGCUAACGCGUGAAGUAGACCGCCUGGGGAGUACGGUCGCAAGAUUAAAACUCAAAGGAAUU